This 429-nucleotide ribosomal RNA is filed under the name Bacteroidota bacterium. RNAcentral describes it as "Bacteroidetes bacterium partial 16S ribosomal RNA". It matches the Rfam family "Bacterial small subunit ribosomal RNA", at positions 355 to 776 of the family's 1533-position model. Lineage: Bacteria; Pseudomonadati; Bacteroidota. The record is from RNAcentral.
UAGGGAAUCUUCGGCAAUGGGGGGAACCCUGACCGAGCAACGCCGCGUGAGUGAAGAAGGUUUUCGGAUCGUAAAGCUCUGUUGUUAAGGAAGAACGAGUGUGAGAAUGGAAAGUUCAUACUGUGACGGUACUUAACCAGAAAGGGACGGCUAACUACGUGCCAGCAGCCGCGGUAAUACGUAGGUCCCGAGCGUUGUCCGGAUUUAUUGGGCGUAAAGCGAGCGCAGGCGGUUAGAUAAGUCUGAAGUUAAAGGCAGUGGCUCAACCAUUGUAGGCUUUGGAAACUGUUUAACUUGAGUGCAGAAGGGGAGAGUGGAAUUCCAGGUGUAGCGGUGAAAUGCGUAGAUAUAUGGAGGAACACCAGUGGCGAAGGCGACUCUCUGGUCUGUAACUGACGCUGGGGCUCGAAAGCGUGGGUAGCAAACAGG